Molecule: ribosomal RNA, 384 nt
Filed under: uncultured fungus
Lineage: Eukaryota; Fungi
Description: eukaryotic LSU rRNA
Rfam family: 5.8S ribosomal RNA (bases 70-223)
Source: RNAcentral
GCCCGCCGUAAAGGAAUCUCAAACUCGUUAUAAACUUGUUAUCUUCUGAACCAAACAUAAAUAAAUUAAAACUUUCAACAACGGAUCUCUUGGUUCUGGCAUCGAUGAAGAACGCAGCGAAAUGCGAUAAGUAAUGUGAAUUGCAGAAUUCAGUGAAUCAUCGAAUCUUUGAACGCAUAUUGCGCCCUUUGGCAUUCCGAAGGGCAUGCCUGUUCGAGCGUCAUUUCACCCCUCAAACUUCACUGUUUGUUGUUGGGCACUGCCGGUAGGCACGCCUAAAAAUCAGCGACGGUUUCAGCCAACCUCUAGCGUGCAAGUAUCGUUAUGAUGGAAGGUUGGGGCUUGUCAUAGCUUUACAUAUCUAUAUGUUGACCUCGGAUCAGG